GUUCAGAGAAUUAAUUGGAAACCUUGUUUCUUUUAUACAUAAACCUGACAAAAAAAUGUAGCUUAGAGCAAAGGGUGAAUGUUAGCUUAACUGCUGCUUAUGUCUUAAGUACAUAAAACCUUUAAUAGAAUAAGCCAGUAGUCACUGAGUUUUUAAAAAUAUUACCAUGUAUAAACAUAUAAUAUCCAACUUCAUCCAAAAAUAUGAUUGAGUUUAAGUACUUUGUUUUUCAGGCAUAUUUCAAGUAUAAUACUCCUUUGAUUUUCAUUGUUCUGAUUUCUGGGUCUUCAAUUCAUUCAUCACCUAUUCCUUUUUAAGUAAAAUAAGUUUUAUUUUUUGAGUUGCAUUGGGAUUUUUCCCAGGAAAAAUAUGACUUUUAGUAAUGCUUUGCAAUUGGCUGUGCAGAUAUAAAUUAAGAUAUGUUUAUCCUGAGUUCUUAUUGGAAUACGUUUCAAAAUCAACGAGCUUAAGAAUGAAAACAAAACUUUUGAGCGUCUCACAAAAUAGCUUUCUGGUCAAUAUACCUUACUUGAUUUGUAAGCUCGGAGAAUAAAGUAUAGAAACAAAUGGAGCUGAAGUUCCAUUUGCUAAUUCAGAGACUUUUGUGCUUCUGCAAAUUGGAGGGCAGCAAGCCAUCCUAUUCUCAUAAUAAUAGUUUUGGCUUUGAAAUUUACAUACAAAUUUAAUAGCAUAUUUUUAGCCAUUAUGGAUUGGUGCAAUAAAGAGAGAUCAAUGUAAUGCAAUGUGAUGCUUUAUGGGCCUCAUUCUAAUUCAGAAAGCUGGUUUAAAAGAACUAAGACUCUUCUGUUUAAUAAAAUAACAACAAUCUAAUAUCUAGAUUGGUGGUCCUGCAGUGUCACCAGUGGGAGAUGAGAGUAUUAAGACAAGAGCAAGGACAAGGAAAGACUUAAAGGUUGCAUACUGAAAAGUUUGGAAUUCCUAAUUUGGGAGCAUUGAUUUCUUGGUGAAGAAGUAAGUAUGACUACAUUGCCAGUAAUUUUUUUAAAACAUAGACCCAGAAAUAGCAAAUCUAUUUCACCCUCAUACCUUAGUCUACAAGGCCUUGCUCUUGAGAAGGUUUUCCAUGAUAUUGCUUAAUUUCAUCUGCACAAGAUGAGACGCAAACAUAAAAAUUCCCUGCUCAUUUUAAUACCAUGAAAGGCUGAGGUUAUUUCUCUGUCAUAAAAUUGUAAAUAGCAUUUUUUAAGUCAAAAUUACAUUUAAAACAGUGGAUUGUUCUACAAAUAUAUAUGUGUAUAUAUACAUAUGCUUCUGAAAUAAGGAUAUAUUAUAUAGAGUUUUUAUUUGAUUUGUGGUCUCUAGUCAUACAUAGUCAAAAAUAAAGAGAUUUGAAUGCAAAACUUUAUACAUUAAUGUAUAUUUCUAAUGAUAGUACAAAUUGCCACUUUAUAAUAAAAAAGAAACAGGUGGGAAUAAUAAUCAAAGCACACGUUCCUUCGGUACUUUAGUGAUUUUUAAUCCCCCUUGUGAUGCGCAGGAAAUUAUUUUUUAGUUACAAAAAGUCAUCUUAAAAAGCUAUACUUCCCAAUACAGAUUUCAUGAUAAGUCCUAUCAAAUUGAGAAUCUGUGGUGAAAGCUUAGGAAAAGGAUGCUAGAUGCUGAUCUUUAUUUUUCAGGAUUUUUCCUGGAGCCCAAGUUAAAAAUUCAAUAUUUAAAUCUAAGUUAAGUGAAAAUUAAUAAUGUUCGGAAAUGAUAUAUUGAGCUUUAGUAACAGAUGGAAGCAAAAAUAAGAAUAUUUAACGUUAUGAUAAUAGCCUUAAAAUAAUGUAAUAAAAAUUGCAUCAUUAAAUGUUCUAUUAGUUGGAAAGAAUGAGCUGAUGUUUCUUUGUCUUUGCUCCAAGUACAAUUUGAAGACAAUGCCAUUCAUUUUACUCAAAAUUGUUCAAAAAGUCCAGAACAUACUCCCAUGGCUAGAAUUGGUAUUAGCUCCAAUACAAGGUUAAAUGUUACAAUCUUAAAAAAUUAUUGACACUGAAAUGUUUAGUAAACAUGUUGUAUGAGAAACUAAACAAAUUAAUGUUUCAUUUUUCCAUUAAAGCACAGAUUAUUCAAAUCAUUGUUUUCUGAGCUCAGAUUUGUAAAAUGUUUAUACAUCACUACCCUCCUGGAAUUAAAAACAAUUAAAUCCUGAGAUGCUCAUGCACAUAGACAAAAUAUUGGCACUUUUUUUUUAAACAUUAAACUUCUUUGAGAAGUCUA
Long non-coding RNA from Macaca fascicularis (crab-eating macaque), 2220 nucleotides. NCBI's taxonomy places the organism in Eukaryota, Metazoa, Chordata, Mammalia, Primates, Cercopithecidae. The record is from Ensembl.